UGCUCUGAUAUUUAUUUGCACCUGGCCUUGGUGGAUCACUGGAACCUUGCCCAGUGCCAGUGAAAUAUACCAUGACAUCUUCUGGCAGGCUUCGCUUCUAUUUGCUGAAGAUGUUUUCACAUGAACAUCCUUCUGGUAGGCGCCUGCAGGCGGGACGUCCAUGCCACAUGAGGAACGAGCUCUUGCUCCAUUUUACUUGUGGACACAGAACGUUGAAUCUUCAACUGAGAACGAGGCAGAUUAAUCCUUCCCCCGAAAGGAAAAUUAUUGAAGGCAGCAGAGUUCUGCCUGAGUAAGCCACAUGCCCAGAGCCCCAUCGGUGUUUCCUGGAUGUCUCUGUGGAAGCAGCUCUUCCGUCUGCCCAAGAGGAGCGUGUGUCAGUGAGCGGUGUGUGCUCGCCAUUGGUGUGGACUGACAUUAUCAACCGCAGAACUGUAAAGGCCAGAGGGUACGCCAGGCACAGUAAAGGCUCCAAAUACAGGGCCUAGGCUCAGCAAACAUUUGGCUUGAGUUUUUCAUGGAUUUUAUCGUACACUGUCAAUUACUAUAGAGUAUUUGUGGCUCAGUUGUAUAUUCUUAUCACAAAAAUGUGGCUACUGCUCUUUUGGCUAUUUAACAGGCCUCAGACAUCUGGCAGAAACUGUUUAUUUAAAUAUUUCUUCACAAGACAAACAUGCUUCCUCACACACUGAAAGAAUUCCAUGAGUGUUUUUAUAAGUCAGCCUGAGUAAGAAAAGCAUUGUUCUGAGAGAAAUUUAACUGCAUUGUGGUUACCAAAUAUUUAAUAUUUUAAAGAGGAAGUUCUAAAAUUUAAUAGAUGAUUUUAUUAUUACUCUUUGAAUGUAAUUAACUAGGGAUGCACUUUAAACUGCUCUAUUCUGGUUACUGAAAUAGGUUUUAUGGUUUACACUGGGGGAAAAACCCUCUGUCAGACUGUGGGCCUCUCCCUUGGCGCACAUUAUUAUGGUCUCUUUAGAGACCAGCACGCCAUUUUGCUGUCAGUGGUCUUGUUCUAGUAGAGCAGGUUUAUAUAUGCAAUCCUCUUGGGAAAUAGUGUCAGAAAAAGGAUCCCCAGUUAGCAGCUGACAUAGUUCCUCCUCACAGUCAGAAGAGCGCCUCAAGCAGCAAAUGAACACAUAUUUCAUUUUUUAUGUGCUGAUAAAAUGUUAUAUCAUUAAGUCAAAAGAACAUAUUUGUCUCAUGUAGGUUGACUUUAGGAGAUAGCUCUUGCUUUCAGUAUAAACGAGGGCUUGUGGCUCAAGAGAAAAUGCUCUGCAGAAGCCAGCUGGCUAGAGCCUGAGAGAAAGCGGCCUGUAAGCAUCAAAUGCCAGUUUCUCCAGGGCUGUCGGCACACUCAUGGUCCGUUCUCAGAUACUUUAAGUACCGAGAGGGCUACAGAGGAAGCCAAACUGUGUGAAGUUUAGUUUAUACUUGUAUAUAUUUUCAAACACUCAAUUGCUUUAUCAGAUCACAGAAUCCAUCCACUCAUUUAUCAGCAAAUAAAUGUUUAGCAGCAACAAAUAUUUGGUAGGCGCUAUUCUAGGCUCAUGCAAAAGGGUAUAAAAUACAAGUGCUUGUUCCGUAGGAGAGCUUGUCUGGUGAGGAUGUCAGACAGACAGGAAGAUCUGAUCACAGAGAGCACGUCCUCCACAUGAAUGCGCUUGGCUGUUCUAUUACUAGGUGCCGUGCCCAUCAGCGUGAGCCCAGAAGUGCUAGUCAGCAGCUGGAUGGCACCUGGUACACAGCAAAAACUUUUUGGAUAAAUUAAUUAGUGGUGAAACUGAUGCUAUUAAAAAUGAGUGUAAUGACUGUCCUGGCUAGUUUUUAUGUCGGCUCGAUACAAACUAGAAUCGUCUGAGAGGAGAGGGUGCAGCAAUGGGCUAGGGCCUCUCAUGGCAAUUACUAAGGAAAUGUCCCCAAAGUCCUGGGUUCUAUAAGACAGCAGGCUGAACAAGCCGUAGGAGCAAGCCAGGAAGUAGCGCCCUCCACAGCUUCUUCAUCAGCUCCUGCCUCCAGGUUCCUUACCCAUUUGAGUUCCUAAAUUGUCUUCCCUCCAUGGACUGUGGUUCAGGAUGUGCAAGCCAAAUAAACCCUUGCCUCCCCAA
Psammomys obesus (fat sand rat) is the source of this 2105-nucleotide long non-coding RNA. RefSeq lists it as uncharacterized. NCBI's taxonomy places the organism in Eukaryota, Metazoa, Chordata, Mammalia, Rodentia, Muridae. The record is from RefSeq and is a predicted model, not a curated record. The transcript is spliced from 3 exons.